UACGUAUGGUGCAAGCGUUAUCCGGAUUUACUGGGUGUAAAGGGAGCGUAGACGGCUGUGUAAGUCUGAAGUGAAAGCCCGGGGCUCAACUCCGGGACUGCUUUGGAAACUAUGCAGCUAGAGUGUCGGAGAGGUAAGUGGAAUUCCCAGUGUAGCGGUGAAAUGCGUAGAUAUUGGGAGGAACACCAGUGGCGAAGGCGGCUUACUGGACGAUGACUGACGUUGAGGCUCGAAAGCGUGGGGAGCAAACAGG
RNAcentral lists this ribosomal RNA (253 nucleotides) under Coprococcus comes ATCC 27758. RNAcentral's name for it is "partial 16S ribosomal RNA". It matches the Rfam family "Bacterial small subunit ribosomal RNA", at positions 524 to 776 of the family's 1533-position model. Lineage: Bacteria; Bacillati; Bacillota; Clostridia; Lachnospirales; Lachnospiraceae. The record is from RNAcentral.